This 486-nucleotide ribosomal RNA is filed under the name uncultured bacterium. RNAcentral's name for it is "bacterial SSU rRNA". It matches the Rfam family "Bacterial small subunit ribosomal RNA", at positions 28 to 509 of the family's 1533-position model. The record is from RNAcentral.
GAUGAACGCUGGCGGCAGGCCUAACACAUGCAAGUCGAGCGAAUGAGGGGAGCUUGCUCCCUGAUUUAGCGGCGGACGGGUGAGUAAUGCGUAGGAAGCUGCCCGAUAGAGGGGGAUACCAGUUGGAAACGACUGUUAAUACCGCAUAAUGUCUACGGACCAAAGUGUGGGACCUUCGGGCCACAUGCUAUCGGAUGCGCCUACGUGGGAUUAGCUAGUUGGUGAGGUAAAGGCUCACCAAGGCGACGAUCCGUAACUGGUCUGAGAGGAUGAUCAGUCACACUGGAACUGAGACACGGUCCAGACUCCUACGGGAGGCAGCAGUGGGGAAUAUUGGACAAUGGGCGAAAGCCUGAUCCAGCCAUGCCGCGUGUGUGAAGAAGGUCUUCGGAUUGUAAAGCACUUUAAGUUGGGAGGAAGGGCAGUAAGUUAAUACCUUGCUGUUUUGACGUUACCAACAGAAUAAGCACCGGCUAACUUCGUGCC